AGAUAGUUAGUAUUAACAAAAACAUUUGAUUUCGGCUCAAAAAAUUAUGGUUUAAGUCCAUAACUACCUA
Molecule: transfer RNA, 70 nt
Filed under: Sinobdella sinensis
Lineage: Eukaryota; Metazoa; Chordata; Actinopteri; Synbranchiformes; Mastacembelidae
Description: tRNA-Arg
Rfam family: tRNA
About the family: Transfer RNA (tRNA) molecules are approximately 80 nucleotides in length.
Source: RNAcentral